Molecule: ribosomal RNA, 397 nt
Filed under: uncultured bacterium
Lineage: Bacteria
Description: partial 16S ribosomal RNA
Rfam family: Bacterial small subunit ribosomal RNA
Source: RNAcentral
AUACGUAAGGGGCGAGCGUUGUCCGGAAUGAUUGGGCGUAAAGGGCGCGUAGGCGGCGCGGUAAGUCUGGAGUGAAAGUCCUGCUUUCAAGGUGGGAAUUGCUUUGGAUACUGCCGCGCUUGAGUGCAGGAGAGGUUAUCGGAAUUCCCGGUGUAGCGGUGAAAUGCGUAGAGAUCGGGAGGAACACCAGUGGCGAAGGCGGGUAACUGGACUGCAACUGACGCUGAGGCGCGAAAGUGUGGGGAGCAAACAGGAUUAGAUACCCUGGUAGUCCACACUGUAAACGAUGAAUGCUAGGUGUAAGAGGUAUCGACCCCUUUUGUGCCGGAGUCAACACAAUAAGCAUUCCGCCUGGGGAGUACGGCCGCAAGGUUGAAACUUAAAGGAAUUGACGGGG